GACGAACGCUGGCGGCGUGCCUAAUACAUGCAAGUUGAGCGAUGAAGAUUGGUGCUUGCACCAAUUUGAAGAGCAGCGAACGGGUGAGUAACGCGUGGGGAAUCUGCCUUUGAGCGGGGGACAACAUCUGGAAACGAAUGCUAAUACCGCAUAACAAAUUUAAACAUAAGUUUUAAGUUUGAAAGAUGCAAUUGCAUCACUCAAAGAUGAUAUCGCGUUGUAUUAGCUAGUUGGUGAGGUAAAGGCUCACCAAGGCGAAGAUACAUAGCCGACCUGAGAGGGUGAUCGGCCAACUUUGGACUUGGACAACGCCCAAACUCCUACGGGGAGCAGCAAUAGGGGAUCUUCGGCAAUGGACGGAAGUCUGACCGAACAACGGCGCGUGAGGUAAGGAGGGUUUCGGAUCGUAAAACUCCGUUGGUAGGGAAGAACGUAAGGGAGAGUUGAAAGCUCAUCAAUUGACGGUAACUACCCAGAAAGGGACGGCUAACUACGUG
This 497-nucleotide ribosomal RNA is filed under the name uncultured bacterium. RNAcentral's name for it is "partial 16S ribosomal RNA". It matches the Rfam family "Bacterial small subunit ribosomal RNA", at positions 28 to 507 of the family's 1533-position model. The record is from RNAcentral.